This 238-nucleotide ribosomal RNA is filed under the name Vibrio parahaemolyticus. RNAcentral describes it as "partial 16S ribosomal RNA". It matches the Rfam family "Bacterial small subunit ribosomal RNA", at positions 1305 to 1533 of the family's 1533-position model. Lineage: Bacteria; Pseudomonadati; Pseudomonadota; Gammaproteobacteria; Vibrionales; Vibrionaceae. The record is from RNAcentral.
CUGCAACUCGACUCCAUGAAGUCGGAAUCGCUAGUAAUCGUGGAUCAGAAUGCCACGGUGAAUACGUUCCCGGGCCUUGUACACACCGCCCGUCACACCAUGGGAGUGGGCUGCAAAAGAAGUAGGUAGUUUAACCUUCGGGGGGACGCUUACCACUUUGUGGUUCAUGACUGGGGUGAAGUCGUAACAAGGUAGCGCUAGGGGAACCUGGCGCUGGAUCACCUCCUUAAACGAUGAU